RNAcentral lists this ribosomal RNA (564 nucleotides) under uncultured bacterium. Its description in RNAcentral is "bacterial SSU rRNA". It matches the Rfam family "Bacterial small subunit ribosomal RNA", at positions 155 to 737 of the family's 1533-position model. The record is from RNAcentral.
AAGAAAGAUUAAUACCGGAUGGUCCCGCAUGGGUAAAGAAUUUCGGUUGUCGAUGGGGAUGCGUUCCAUUAGGCAGUUGGCGGGGUAACGGCCCACCAAACCUACGAUGGAUAGGGGUUCUGAGAGGAAGGUCCCCCACAUUGGAACUGAGACACGGUCCAAACUCUACGGGAGGCAGCAGUGAGGAAUAUUGGUCAAUGGACGAGAGUCUGAACCAGCCAAGUAGCGUGAAGGAUGACUGCCUAUGGGUUGUAAACUUCUUUUAUACGGGAAUAAGUGAGCCACGUGUGGCUUUUUGUAUGUACCGUAUGAAUAAGGAUCGGCUAACUCCGUGCCAGCAGCCGCGGUAAUACGGAGGAUCCGAGCGUUAUCCGGAUUUAUUGGGUUUAAAGGGAGCGUAGGCGGGUUGUUAAGUCAGUUGUGAAAGUUUGCGGCUCAACCGUAAAAUUGCAGUUGAUACUGGCGACCUUGAGUGCAACAGAGGUAGGCGGAAUUCGUGGUGUAGCGGUGAAAUGCUUAGAUAUCACGAAGAACUCCGAUUGCGAAGGCAGCUUACUGGAUUGU